This 637-nucleotide long non-coding RNA is filed under the name Callithrix jacchus (white-tufted-ear marmoset). RNAcentral's name for it is "lncRNA (ENSCJAG00000087365.1)". The record is from RNAcentral. Lineage: Eukaryota; Metazoa; Chordata; Mammalia; Primates; Cebidae.
UGGGGACCUGCAACGUUGGCACUGUCCAGCUGCAGCCGCACAGGUCCAGGGUGGAGGCGGUUACAGGUGGCGCCCAGAGAAGGAGGCUGCGUGCCACAAGCAUGGCGGUGCUGACUUCAAUACCUCCCUGAGCCAACUUUCCUCUUCGGGUCAGCUGUAGGAGGAACGCGCUUCAGACCAUGAGCAAUGCGUUUGUUGAGUCCAGCCGUCCCUGGCCUCUAGGAUUGCCAGGGAAUCAGGGCUCUCCAGGACCCAAGGGCUCCAAAGGAGAAGUGGGACACCACCCCCCAUCCAUCACCAAGGUGGUUUCCUUUUGACUUUCUUCAGUUGGAGGCUGAAAUGAAGGGAAAGAAGGAAGAUUGAGGCCAGACCUCCUCACUGCUGGGGGACAGGCUCCUGGGGCAGAACGCUGCAAGCUUCCACCGUGCCUACAUUGAGCUCUGCAUUGAGAACAGCGUCAGGACUGCCUCCAAGUAGCUGCUGCCUGGAUGCAGGUGGCUGGAGAGAACGCCUGGUUGGAGGGAGCCCCCGCUGUGGGCAGGGAGCAGUCGGCCAGCCCCAACUCCAGGACCUGGCUGCCAUGCUUUCCUGUAUAGUUCAUGCUUCAUGUAAUCCUCCAGAAAUAAAAGGAAGCCAA